Molecule: ribosomal RNA, 481 nt
Filed under: uncultured bacterium
Lineage: Bacteria
Description: partial 16S ribosomal RNA
Rfam family: Bacterial small subunit ribosomal RNA
Source: RNAcentral
GAUGAACGCUGGCGGCGUGCCUAAUACAUGCAAGUCGAACGCUUCACUUCGGUGAAGAGUGGCGAACGGGUGAGUAAUACAUAAGUAACCUGGCAUCUACAGGGGGAUAACUGAUGGAAACGUCAGCUAAGACCGCAUAGGUGUAGAGAUCGCAUGAACUCUAUAUGAAAAGUGCUACGGAACUGGCAGAUGAUGGACUUAUGGCGCAUUAACUUGUUGGUAGGGUAACGGCCUACCAAGGCGACGAUGCGUAGCCGACCUGAGGGGGUGACCGGCCACACAGGGGCUGAGAGACGGCACAGAGUCCGACGGGAGGCAGAGGGAGGGAAGUUACGGAAAAGGGGGAAACCCUGCACGAGGAACGGCGCGUGAAGGAAGAAGUAAUGCGUUAUGUAAAAUGCUGUUAUAGAGGAAGAACGGUGGAGAUAGGGAAGGAGAGCCAAGGGAGGGUACUCUAUAAGAAAGCCACGGCUAACUAGGU